GCGCUGGUAGCUCAGGGGUAGAGCAGGGGCCUUUUAAGCCCAAGGUCGUGGGUUCGAGACCCACCCGGCGCACCA
Molecule: transfer RNA, 75 nt
Filed under: Candidatus Uhrbacteria bacterium CG_4_9_14_3_um_filter_36_7
Lineage: Bacteria; Candidatus Uhriibacteriota
Description: tRNA-Lys
Rfam family: tRNA
About the family: Transfer RNA (tRNA) molecules are approximately 80 nucleotides in length. Their secondary structure includes four short double-helical elements and three loops (D, anti-codon, and T loops).
Source: RNAcentral